This 2095-nucleotide long non-coding RNA is filed under the name Androctonus crassicauda. The record is from RNAcentral. Lineage: Eukaryota; Metazoa; Arthropoda; Arachnida; Scorpiones; Buthidae.
UUUAAUUCCUAGAAUAUUUUAAAUAAAUUUUUUAAAUAAUAAUAUCCAGUAAGAGAAAUUUCCCACAGAUGGCGCAGGUACGAUGGUAGUAGCAUCAGCAUGUCUGUAAUAACUACCGCAAUAUUUGCGCAAUUAUAUUAUUAUUAUUUGGUCAAUACGACGAUUUCGCUGUACGAUAGACUUCGGCGUUAUUUACGCGUGUAAAUUACUUAAAAUGGUUACGAAAUUAGUCAAAAUUUUAAGAUUACGAUAAUAAAUAUGUAUAGCUCCAACAGCAGAUUUUUAAGACAGAUAUCUGGAAGAAAAGUUUGCGUAUCCGUCGAUAAUUUAUCACUUUUAUUAAUUAAAAGGUGACGGUUGACAGUUUACGGCAGUCUGCAUUGCGGUAAAGCAGAUAAAAACAACUAAUUAUCAUAAACUUAUCUUCAAAAUUAUUAACACGACAAUAAAUUCAGUUUUUUUUUUUUAAUUGAAAAAAAAGGACAUACCGGACUUUGCAGUUUGUCGGGAUACAUAUCGUCGAGAACAAAUUAAAAAAACAAUAAAAAAAAAGGAUUCGAAUAAAUUUAAAUAAGAUAAAUAUUAAUAUUUUUGUUUUGCUGUUUAUGAAUGUUUACUUUUUUGUGUUUUUGUUUAUAUCCGGAGUUAUUCUGCAAUGCGGUGUAGUUAACGCCAUCUGGUGUAUGAAUUUAUUCAUAAAUUGGGAGAAUUUGAUUAGCAAAUCUCCGGAGAGAGUAAAAGAUACGGAUUUAUUUUUAAUUACUUCAAACGGGAACAUUAAUUAAAAUUACGCUUUUAAUUCGAUUAAAAUCGUUCGUCUAAUUAUAGAAAAGACUAAAUCUCGUUUCGGAGCGGUUGGAUGGCCAUUAACCGCGCCAGUCACGUGAUUAGAUUUUUGGAGAAAAGCGAAACGUGAAGAGAUGGCAGCCAUUCGCCACCGAGAAUUUAAAACUUUAAAAAAACGAUAAGGCGUACUGUUAUUGGUUGUUCAACCCCGUACGCUCGUUUUGAAAAUUUAUUUUAUCCGGUGGGUGAUUGGUGGAAAUCCAUUUCGUCAGCCGGAAAUUCGAAAAUUUUGUUUUAUAAUAAUUCUUCAAAUUAAUCUCCGAAUAUAUUGCGAUAGACUACGUCAUGCAGAUUAAAACACGAAAACGAUGGUUCGAAUGGAGUUAAAAAUUAAUUAAACGUAUCCUAAAUGGAACGUAUAUUAAAAUAUCGAUUUACGGGAUUUAGAUAAAUCAAAUUCAAUAUGGCGUCGAGCUUAUGGUACGACUUAAAACAGAUUUCGUCUUCAAUUAAUUUCAAUUUAGCGUAGUAAACAAUGAGUUGAUUUAUCGAGAGACUCCCGAUAGAACAGCUGCAAAUGAAAUGAAACGUUCGACAUUACAAUAAGUAAUCAGCGCCCCAAUAGGAUUUAUAUUGGAUUUGCCAUUAGGAGAAGAAAGAAAAAAAAAAAAAACACAUUUAUAUAUAUACAUAUAAAAAAAAAAACAGGAUCAAUUUUUGAAAAUGAAGACACGUUUUGCCAGUUUAAAUUACCGGCUAAGUCUACUUGUAUACGAUCUUUCUGGUAACUCCAAAACAAUACUUAAAAUAUUAAACGAACCGGGCCUUCGGAAUAAACUAUUCCAAAAAAAAAAGGAACAAUUCGGAAAAAUAAUGGAUCCAUCAAAUUCGAUUAAAGAAGGUAACAAAAGAUAUAUAAUGCAAUUGCCUAAAAAACUUCUACAACCAACGACAAAACACAAUUUAUUUCCUGAAGAGAAAAAGGCAUUUUCCGAAAACUGCCUUGCAUAAAAUUGCCAAAGGCACUUUUAAUUACCGACUUUAAUGCCACGCCGCGACGUCAUUAGUGUUAUUGUUGUAUAUUAGUCAAGAUUUAGAACGACCACCACAUAAUCGGUUACUGAUUAGGUAAUUUUAGUAAAACUGAAUAUUAAUUCCCUCAGAGUGCUGCUGCUGCUGCUGCUGCUGAUGAUGAUGCUCGGUCGUACUCUGUCAAAUUAUCAUUAACUCUUACUACUAGACAACUAAUUUUUUUUAUUUUUUAAAUAAAAUUACAAAUUUCGGUCAGAGUUGGAUAUUAACAAUAGGG